Molecule: ribosomal RNA, 1581 nt
Filed under: Amolops hongkongensis (Hong Kong sucker frog)
Lineage: Eukaryota; Metazoa; Chordata; Amphibia; Anura; Ranidae
Description: 16S ribosomal RNA
Rfam family: Bacterial large subunit ribosomal RNA
Source: RNAcentral
GCCCAAAAUCUAGCCCACUUAAUUUCCUAUACAUUCUUAUUCUUUACUUCUCGAUAACAAAACAUUUUAACAACUUAGUACAGGCGAUCGAAAAAUUUCUUGGCGCUUUAGACAAAGUACCGCAAGGGAACGAUGAAAUAGUAAUGAAAUAAUACUAAAGCCUUAAACAGCAGAGCUUAUCUCUCGUACCUUUUGCAUCAUGGUCUAGCUAGUCUACCCAGGCAAAGUGAAAGCUUUAGUCUGACCCCCCGAAACUAAGCGAGCUACUUCAAAACAGCCUAAGGGCCAACCCUUCUCUGUUGCAAAAGAGUGGGAAGAUUUUCAAGUAGAGGCGAAAAACCUAUCGAGCUUAGAGAUAGCUGGUUGUUCAAGAAAAGAGUUUAAGCUCUACCUUAAGUAUAUUUAUAAUACCAAGUUAUUCACCAGACUUAAGAGCUAUUCAAAUAAGGCACAGCUUAUUUGAAACAGAACACAACCUCCAACACUGGGUUAAUACAGGUUACUAAAAUCAAGUGGGCCUAAAAGCAGCCACCUUAUAGAAAGCGUUAAAGCUCAACUAUAUAUUACCUUAAAUUUCAAAAUCUAUCUUCAACCCUUCAUUACUACUGAACUACUUUAUAUUAUUAUAAAAAAAAUUAUGCUAGAACUAGUAACAAGAAUUAGCCCUUCUCCAAAAUGUAAGCUUAAGCCAAAAUGGACAUCCCAUUGGCAAUUAACGCAAAUGUAAUUAUUAUAGUAACACACACUAGUAAACCCUAUAACAACUAGCGUCAACCUAACACUAGAACAUUUCAGGAAAGAUUAAAAGAGAAAGAAGGAACUCGGCAAAUCUCAGCCCCGCCUGUUUACCAAAAACAUCGCCUCUUGUUUAAAUAUAAGAGGUCCAGCCUGCCCAGUGACAUAAUUCAACGGCCGCGGUACCCUAACCGUGCGAAGGUAGCAUAAUCACUUGUUCUUUAAAUAAGGACUUGUAUCAACGGCAUCACGAGGGCUGUACUGUCUCCUUUCUCCAAUCAGUGAAACUGAUCUCCCCGUGAAGAAGCGGGGAUUAACCUAUAAGACGAGAAGACCCCAUGGAGCUUAAAGCCCACACAACUCUAUGCACUUAAAUCUAUACAGCCCAAGAAACCUGCAAACGGCUUUAGGUUGGGGGGACCGCGGAGUAAAACCUAACCUCCACGACAAACGGGCAUACGCCCUUAUCCAAGAAUGACAAUUCUAAGAAUCAAUAAACUGAUGUUUAAUGACCCGAUUAUUCGAUCAACGAACCAAGUUACCCUGGGGAUAACAGCGCAAUCUACUUCAAGAGCCCCUAUCAACAAGUAGGUUUACGACCUCGAUGUUGGAUCAGGGUAUCCUAGUGGUGCAGCCGCUACUAAAGGUUCGUUUGUUCAACGAUUAAAACCCUACGUGAUCUGAGUUCAGACCGGAGCAAUCCAGGUCGGUUUCUAUCUAUAAAGCGUUUUCCCUAGUACGAAAGGAUCGGGAUAACAUGGCCAAUAUUAAUAUAAGCCAUCAUCUUCUACUAAUGAAUAUCUCAAUUAACUAAGACCUAAUAUAAUACUAAAGAUUAUAGUUGUU